CACAAAGCCCGUCGCUCCUACCGAUUGAAUGGUCCGGUGAAGUGUUCGGAUUGCGGCGACGUGGGCGGUUCGCCGCCCGCGACGUCGCAAGAAGUCCACUGAACCUUAUCAUUUAGAGGAAGGAGAAGUCGUAACAAGGUUUCCGUAGGUGAACCUGCGGAAGGAUCA
This 168-nucleotide ribosomal RNA is filed under the name Oldenlandia corymbosa. RNAcentral describes it as "partial 18S ribosomal RNA". It matches the Rfam family "Eukaryotic small subunit ribosomal RNA", at positions 1665 to 1828 of the family's 1831-position model. The record is from RNAcentral. Lineage: Eukaryota; Viridiplantae; Streptophyta; Magnoliopsida; Gentianales; Rubiaceae.